This 86-nucleotide small RNA is filed under the name Klebsiella pneumoniae. RNAcentral describes it as "partial RtT sRNA". It matches the Rfam family "RtT RNA", at positions 47 to 130 of the family's 130-position model. From Rfam's summary of the family: This family represents a bacterial cis-regulatory element known as RtT RNA. The record is from RNAcentral. Lineage: Bacteria; Pseudomonadati; Pseudomonadota; Gammaproteobacteria; Enterobacterales; Enterobacteriaceae.
CUCGAGCGAAGCGAGAGAACGUUGCCGCAGGCAACGGCCCGAAGGGCGAGGCGCUUUAGCGCCGAGUAAUCCUUCCCCCACCACCA